UACGUAGGGUGCGAGCGUUAAUCGGAAUUACUGGGCGUAAAGCGUGCGCAGGCGGUUUUGUAAGCCAGAUGUGAAAUCCCCGGGCUUAACCUGGGAAUGGCAUUUGGGACUGCAAGGCUUGAGUGCGGCAGAGGAGACUGGAAUUCCUGGUGUAGCAGUGAAAUGCGUAGAGAUCGAGAGGAACACCAGUGGCGAAGGCGAGUUCCUGGACAAGUCCUGACGCUGAGGCACGAAAGCCAGGGGAGCAAACAGG
RNAcentral lists this ribosomal RNA (253 nucleotides) under uncultured bacterium. RNAcentral describes it as "partial 16S ribosomal RNA". It matches the Rfam family "Bacterial small subunit ribosomal RNA", at positions 524 to 776 of the family's 1533-position model. The record is from RNAcentral.